This 497-nucleotide ribosomal RNA is filed under the name uncultured bacterium. RNAcentral describes it as "partial 16S ribosomal RNA". It matches the Rfam family "Bacterial small subunit ribosomal RNA", at positions 28 to 507 of the family's 1533-position model. The record is from RNAcentral.
GAUGAACGCUGGCGGCGUGCCUAAUACAUGCAAGUCGAGCGAACAGACGAGGAGCUUGCUCCUCUGACGUUAGCGGCGGACGGGUGAGUAACACGUGGAUAACCUACCUAUAAGACUGGGAUAACUUCGGGAAACCGGAGCUAAUACCGGAUAAUAUAUUGAACCGCGUGGUUCAAUAGUGAAAGACGGUUUUGCUGUCACUUAUAGAUGGAUCCGCGCCGCAUUAGCUAGUUGGUAAGGUAACGGCUUACCAAGGCAACGAUGCGUAGCCGACCUGAGAGGGUGAUCGGCCACACUGGAACUGAGACACGGUCCAGACUCCUGCGGGAGGCAGCAGUAGGGAAUCUUCCGCAAUGGGCGAAAGCCUGACGGAGCAACGCCGCGUGAGUGAUGAAGGUCUUCGGAUCGUAAAACUCUGUUAUUAGGGAAGAACAAAUGUGUAAGUAACUAUGCACGUCUUGACGGUACCUAAUCAGAAAGCCACGGCUAACUACGUG